RNAcentral lists this ribosomal RNA (559 nucleotides) under Burkholderia sp. CEL4DABB. RNAcentral describes it as "bacterial SSU rRNA". It matches the Rfam family "Bacterial small subunit ribosomal RNA", at positions 20 to 572 of the family's 1533-position model. Lineage: Bacteria; Pseudomonadati; Pseudomonadota; Betaproteobacteria; Burkholderiales; Burkholderiaceae. RNAcentral also lists the same sequence under 1 other name. The record is from RNAcentral.
UGGCUCAGAUUGAACGCUGGCGGCAUGCCUUACACAUGCAAGUCGAACGGCAGCACGGGUGCUUGCACCUGGUGGCGAGUGGCGAACGGGUGAGUAAUACAUCGGAACAUGUCCUGUAGUGGGGGAUAGCCCGGCGAAAGCCGGAUUAAUACCGCAUACGAUCUACGGAUGAAAGCGGGGGACCUUCGGGCCUCGCGCUAUAGGGUUGGCCGAUGGCUGAUUAGCUAGUUGGUGGGGUAAAGGCCUACCAAGGCGACGAUCAGUAGCUGGUCUGAGAGGACGACCAGCCACACUGGGACUGAGACACGGCCCAGACUCCUACGGGAGGCAGCAGUGGGGAAUUUUGGACAAUGGGCGAAAGCCUGAUCCAGCAAUGCCGCGUGUGUGAAGAAGGCCUUCGGGUUGUAAAGCACUUUUGUCCGGAAAGAAAUCCUUGGUUCUAAUAUAACCGGGGGAUGACGGUACCGGAAGAAUAAGCACCGGCUAACUACGUGCCAGCAGCCGCGGUAAUACGUAGGGUGCGAGCGUUAAUCGGAAUUACUGGGCGUAAAGCGUGCGC